Molecule: long non-coding RNA, 1032 nt
Organism: Hipposideros armiger (great roundleaf bat)
Lineage: Eukaryota; Metazoa; Chordata; Mammalia; Chiroptera; Hipposideridae
Exons: 2
Source: RefSeq, a predicted model, not a curated record
GGCCUUGUGUCAGCCUCGGAAAUGAGGUCACUUACGAGCCUGCCUGGGCCACCCGCCACCCGAGCCUCGCAUGCAUUCCUUGUUCAAUGAGAUGUUGUUUUCAAAUGUGUUCCCAGGGAACUGUCGUGGGGUUUUUGUCUUUACCCUCCCUUUCUGCCUGGCUUACAGGCAUAGCUGCAGCUGCUAUAGCAGCAGGCUAGAAACAGGGAUCAGGGUUUGUGAGCAGGCCGGCCGUGGAAGGGCUGGUUUCCCUGGGCUCAGCCAGCGCUGCGGAUGAUAUGGCCAACCUUUACAGCCACUGUCCUCCACUGCCCUGUCACCGAGAGCUGGGCCAGGCCCUCUCCUCUGGGUCUCUGGGAUCAAGGCUAUUGUGCACAGCGAUUCACCCCAACUCUGCUCUCAGCCUUCUCUCCAUCUGGGCCCAGGCUUGUCCCUACGCGGGAGACAUCAUUCCACCAGGAAGCCCUCCAAGAUUAGCUCUUCGUUUCGGCCACUUGCCAAUGGAACCUGUGACCAUCUACUAAGUGCCCAGGGGCAGGUUCAGCGUAUCCUGGCUCUGUGCUCCCUACAUGGCUGCGGUCCACCCUUCAGACAGCUGCCUGCACAUCUGGGAUAGCUGCAGCGGGCCAAGUUGGCACCUCUGAUGUGCCAAGCACUUUACAGAGUCACAUCAUUCUCCCAUCAGCCUGGGGACCUAGGACACUGAGGUUUAGAAGAGUAAGAAGACUUUCCAUGUCGGAGGGGCAGCUGGUGGGAGAGCUGGGUUGAUAAGUAGACUUUCUGGUUCCUGUUUCUCCAGUGCUUCUCUGCUCAGCAUUGCCCAGGGGGGUCUCUGAGAUGAGAUACCUUUCAGAUGCCUCCUGAGUCUGGGAGAGCACCCUGGGUAGCAGCCACCAUGCUGUCCCAGACAUUUCAGACUGGCCUUUCCUAAAGAUGUGCCAUUGGACAUUCAUGGCCUCCACAGAAAUGGAGGGAAGGGUUGUCAGUCUAUACAUUUGGGAAACCUUGUAUUAAACAAAAGUACACAAGUUC